RNAcentral lists this ribosomal RNA (501 nucleotides) under uncultured bacterium. Its description in RNAcentral is "partial 16S ribosomal RNA". It matches the Rfam family "Bacterial small subunit ribosomal RNA", at positions 30 to 523 of the family's 1533-position model. The record is from RNAcentral.
AUUGAACACUGGCGGCAUGCCUUACACAUGCAAGUCGAACGGCAGCACGGGUGCUUGCACCUGGUGGCGAGUGGCGAACGGGUGAGUAAUAUAUCGGAACGUACCUUAUUGUGGGGGAUAACGCAGCGAAAGCUGUGCUAAUACCGCAUAAUCCCUAAGGGGGAAAGCGGGGGACCGUAAGGCCUCGCGCAAUUAGAGCGGCCGAUACCUGAUUAGCUAGUUGGUGAGGUAAAGGCUCACCAAGGCAACGAUCAGUAGCUGGUCUGAGAGGACGAGCAGCCACACUGGGACUGAGACACGGCCCGGACCCCUACGGGAGGCAGCAGUGGGGAAUUUUGGACGAUGGGGGCAACCCUGAUCCAGCAAUGCCGCGUGAGUGAAGAAGGCCUUCGGGUUGUAAAGCUCUUUUGUCAGGGAAGAAACAGCAGCUCUAACACAGUUUGCGAAUGACGGUACCUGAAGAAUAAGCACCGGCUAACUACGUGCCAGCAGCCGCGGUAA